RNAcentral lists this ribosomal RNA (453 nucleotides) under uncultured Bacteroidales bacterium. RNAcentral describes it as "bacterial SSU rRNA". It matches the Rfam family "Bacterial small subunit ribosomal RNA", at positions 227 to 679 of the family's 1533-position model. The record is from RNAcentral. Lineage: Bacteria; Pseudomonadati; Bacteroidota; Bacteroidia; Bacteroidales.
GGGGAUGCGUUCCAUUAGAUAGUAGGCGGGGUAACGGCCCACCUAGUCAACGAUGGAUAGGGGUUCUGAGAGGAAGGUCCCCCACAUUGGAACUGAGACACGGUCCAAACUCCUACGGGAGGCAGCAGUGAGGAAUAUUGGUCAAUGGGCGAUGGCCUGAACCAGCCAAGUAGCGUGAAGGAUGACUGCCCUAUGGGUUGUAAACUUCUUUUAUAAAGGAAUAAAGUCGGGUAUGCAUACCCGUUUGCAUGUACUUUAUGAAUAAGGAUCGGCUAACUCCGUGCCAGCAGCCGCGGUAAUACGGAGGAUCCGAGCGUUAUCCGGAUUUAUUGGGUUUAAGGGAGCGUAGAUGGAUGUUUAAGUCAGUUGUGAAAGUUUGCGGCUCAACCGUAAAUUGCAGUUGAUACUGGAUGUCUUGAGUGCAGUUGAGGCAGGCGGAAUUCGUGGUGUAGC